AGUGAACGCUGGCGGUAGGCCUAACACAUGCAAGUCGAACGGCAGCACAGUAAGAGCUUGCUCUUACGGGUAGCGAGUGGCGGACGGGUGAGGAAUACAUCGGCAUCUACUUUUUCGUGGGGGAUAACGUAGGGAAACUUACGCUAAUACCGCAUACGACCUACGGGUGAAAGCAGGGGAUCUUCGGACCUUGCGCGAUUGAAUGAGCCGAUGUCGGAUUAGCUAGUUGGCGGGGUAAAGGCCCACCAAGGCGACGAUCCGUAGCUGGUCUGAGAGGAUGAUCAGCCACACUGGAACUGAGACACGGUCCAGACUCCUACGGGAGGCAGCAGUGGGGAAUAUUGGACAAUGGGCGCAAGCCUGAUCCAGCCAUACCGCGUGGGUGAAGAAGGCCUUCGGGUUGUAAAGCCCUUUUGUUGGGAAAGAAAAGCAGCAGGUUAAUACCCCGCUGUUCUGACGGUACCCAAAGAAUAAGCACCGGCUAACUUCGUG
This 492-nucleotide ribosomal RNA is filed under the name uncultured bacterium. RNAcentral describes it as "partial 16S ribosomal RNA". It matches the Rfam family "Bacterial small subunit ribosomal RNA", at positions 29 to 507 of the family's 1533-position model. The record is from RNAcentral.